GCACUGCUGAGGAGUCCCAUACUAGGACGAAAUGGUCAUCCAGUAC
This 46-nucleotide non-coding RNA is filed under the name Schistosoma bovis. Lineage: Eukaryota; Metazoa; Platyhelminthes; Trematoda; Strigeidida; Schistosomatidae. The record is from RNAcentral. RNAcentral also lists the same sequence under 1 other name.